GAGGGGCAGCACAGGUAGCAAUACCGGGUGGCGACCGGCGCACGGGUGAGUAACACGUAUGCAACUUGCCUAUCAGAGGGGGAUAACCCGGCGAAAGUCGGACUAAUACCGCAUGAAGCAGGGGUCCCGCAUGGGGAUAUUUGCUAAAGAUUCAUCGCUGAUAGAUAGGCAUGCGUUCCAUUAGGCAGUUGGCGGGGUAACGGCCCACCAAACCGACGAUGGAUAGGGGUUCUGAGAGGAAGGUCCC
Molecule: ribosomal RNA, 247 nt
Filed under: Escherichia coli
Lineage: Bacteria; Pseudomonadati; Pseudomonadota; Gammaproteobacteria; Enterobacterales; Enterobacteriaceae
Description: partial 16S ribosomal RNA
Rfam family: Bacterial small subunit ribosomal RNA
Source: RNAcentral